RNAcentral lists this long non-coding RNA (1499 nucleotides) under Homo sapiens (human). RNAcentral's name for it is "HSALNT0270314". The record is from RNAcentral. Lineage: Eukaryota; Metazoa; Chordata; Mammalia; Primates; Hominidae.
GGGAUGUGUGUGUGUGUCAUGAGGGACAUGUGUGGGUGUGGGUGUGUCACAUGAGGGAUGUGUGUGUGUGUCAUGUGAGGGAUGUGUGUGUGUCACAUAAGGGAUGUGUGUGGGUGUGUGUGUCACAUGAGGGAUGUGUGUGGGUGUGUGUGGGUGCAUGAAGGAUGUCAUCCCUGUUCCGUGGCCCAGACAUGCCUCACCUCACGCAGCCCUGUGCUCCGGGAAGGUGGGUCUGGUCCCGUGGCCCUAGCUGGCACUCCUCUGUCCCCUCCCAUCUUGGGGUUUAAUCGCCUCCAACUGUCCAGGUCCAGCUGAGGAGCCGCCUCUCCCAGGGCCAUUCCUGAUCCCCAGGGACCACUCCCCUCUGACCUCCCUGAGCACACAUCUUUGUUGGAGGCAUUUGUCACCCUGUCAUCUGGAGACAGUGACUUCCUCUCAUGAGAAGGGGAGCUCCUCGAGGGCAAGGCCUCUCUGUCCAUGCGCCCCGGGAGCUGUCUCACGCUGGACCCAGCACGCGGUGGGGGCUUGGAAGUCCUCCCUGACCACCCACCAAACCAGGUAAGCAGCAAGUUACUUCUCCCCUCAAACUCAAAGCUGUCUCCGGCUUUCCAAGCCCCAGUUUCCUUGGGUCCCUCAUGGCCAAGAAGCACAACAUGAGAUGUUCCCCAUCGUGCCCCAACACUCGUGUGGACAGUCCAGGGUUGAGCUGACCUCUGCUGAACUGUGCGCGCUGGGGCAGGUGCUGCGCCUGAGCUGUGCGUGCCGGGGCAGGUGCUGGGUCUCCCGAAGCCUUGGGUUCCUGCCGUGUCUGAAGCUCACGAUGCUGGGUCUUGGGCUUCCUUGCCAAAUUGGACAGAAAAUCUGUCCUAAUUAUUGGGAAUAAUAAGGCCCUUGGAAUCUCUUUGCUGUGGAACUUGAAAGACCAUCCCCCCCCACCCCCGCACCCAUUGCCACGAGGGUGAUGGUCACUUUAUGUGUCCACUCGGCUGCACCACGGUGCCCAGCUGUUGGCCACACACCUGCCUCGGUGCUGCUGUGCAGGUGUUUUCUGGCAGGAUGAACACUUAGCUCAGCAGGUUUUGAGGUAGGAAAGUGACGCUCCACCAUGGGGGUGGGCCUCGUCCCAGCAGCUGAGGCCUUGAGAGCAAAGACCGAGGUUUCUGGAAGAAAACGGGAUUCUCCUCCACAAGAUGGCAAUGUGGAAGCCGUGCUGAGUUCCCAGCCUGCCGCCCUGCGGAAUUUGGACUCAGAUGGCAGCAUCAGCUUCCCUGGACUUCCAGCCAGCUGGCCUGCCCUGCAAUUGCCAGUCCCCACAAUCAUGCUCCCCAGCUGCCCUUCAGAGUGCUGGAUUUCUCCACCUUUCCACCGUCUUCACCGCCUUCCACUGCCUUUCCACUGCCUUUCACCCCACAGUCUCUCCCGUCGGGGCUCCUUCCUCUCCGUCCCUCCGAGGGUCCGCUGCCCUUCCGCGGGAUGGGAUGGAUCCUUCCAGCCCGGGG